AAAUAGAUACCCCGGUAGUCCACGCCGUAAACGAUGAGUGCUAAGUGUUAGAGGGUUUCCGCCCUUUAGUGCUGCAGCAAACGCAUUAAGCAGUCCGCCUGGGGAGUACGGUCGCAAGACUGAAACUCAAAGGAAUUGACGGGGGCCCGCACAAGCGGUGGAGCAUGUGGUUUAAUUCGAAGCAACGCGAAGAACCUUACCAGGUCUUGACAUCCUUAUGCCAUCUCUAGAGAUAGAGCUUUCCCUUCGGGGACAUAAGUGACAGGUGGUGCAUGGUUGUCGUCAGCUCGUGUCGUGAGAUGUUGGGUUAAGUCCCGCAACGAGCGCAACCCUUGAUCUUAGUUGCCAGCAUUCAGUUGGGCACUCUAAGGUGACUGCCGGUGACAAACCGGAGGAAGGUGGGGAUGACGUCAAAUCAUCAUGCCCCUUAUGACCUGGGCUACACACGUGCUACAAUGGAUGGUACAAAGGGCAGCGAAACCGCGAGGUUAAGCAAAUCCCAAUAAAACCAUUCUCAGUUCGGAUUGC
RNAcentral lists this ribosomal RNA (528 nucleotides) under uncultured bacterium. RNAcentral's name for it is "bacterial SSU rRNA". It matches the Rfam family "Bacterial small subunit ribosomal RNA", at positions 776 to 1301 of the family's 1533-position model. The record is from RNAcentral.